RNA transcript from Nicotiana attenuata, 1241 nucleotides. RefSeq lists it as uncharacterized. Lineage: Eukaryota; Viridiplantae; Streptophyta; Magnoliopsida; Solanales; Solanaceae. The record is from RefSeq and is a predicted model, not a curated record. The transcript is spliced from 4 exons.
AACAAAAGAAAAUAAUCAGUAAAUGAAACACUAAAAUCAGUCCAGAGCCGAAGUAGCGAAACUCUCAUCUCGGAGGCAUCGACUCGAUGUGAAGAACAGAGAAGCGCCCAAAAUCGGUCCUCUAUAGCUAGAAAUCCCAAAUAGAAACCCAAAAUCGGUCCUCUCUAGCUAGAAAUCUGUCCAGAUAAUAGAAAUCCCAAAUCGAAAUCACUAAAAAAUCUCACCCAAAUCGAAAUCCCUCAAAUCAGAAUGUGAAUUCGAUUGGGUGUUUAUGAUACUUUCCGGAAACUUUAUUUUGAAGCUAAAUCUUAAGAUUGGAAGCUGGUUUGACGAGUUUUGGUUUGAAUUUGUGAAUCAAGUUGUGCGAAGAAGAAGACUACUAGGGUCUUUCGAUUCAAAGCUUCUUCAACUUCAAGCAUUCAAGAACUUGUACACAGCUGCGGAAGCCGGCAAAGGGCAAGAAAAUAUAGAAGUGAAAUUUUAACAACUCAGAGAAAUCCUAUUACUGGAGAAUUGGACACACCAGAUAAAGUUUGGGAGAUCCAACAUACCCGCAAGGAUGAUAGAGGCGAACUGGUGUGGUUGGAUUCACAAUCCCAACAAAUUCAUGGUCAACUCCAGGAAGUUGUCGCUCAGCAACAAUCUGAGGAGAUCGAGCAUCCCAUGACUAGAGAUGAGAUUUUAUCCUCCGUUGUUGGUGAGAGAACAGGCUAUGUUCGUGGAAAAGGAUACGGAAAGAAGCCUCCUAAAAAGAGUAACAUUCAGCAGGCAAACAUAGAGGCCAGCGUGUCUUCUGCUAUUGAUAUUGUGCGUCAAGAGAUGCAAGUCGAGAUGGAUAGGAAGUUGCAAGAAGAACGUGAACAAAUGGCUGCCGAGUUGCGAAGAAAUAUGGAAAUUGAGUUGGAAAGGAAGUUGGCAGAGGAGCGUCAACACCCAAAUGAGUAGCGUCAACACGCAAAUGCAGAAGCAGACAAGAGGAUCUCUCUAGAAGUGGAGAAGAAGAUGCAGGAACAAUUUGCUAGUUUCUUGACCAGGAUGCAACAACAACAGGGACAAGGCACUUAAACAGUGGUAUCGUUCAAGGAUGGUGUCGGGCAAGGAGCAGUUACAAGGCACUUAAUAUUUUGUCAUUUUUGGGAUAUGUAUAUGCGUACAAUUACAAUGCACAAUGAAGUGUCAGGUAGUAUAUAAGUAAUUGACUUUUUAGUAAUGAUAAUAUUUAUAAUAUUCGGCUUGUGAAA